Molecule: unclassified non-coding RNA, 144 nt
Filed under: uncultured bacterium
Lineage: Bacteria
Description: partial 16S-23S ribosomal RNA intergenic spacer
Source: RNAcentral
UCUCUGUAGUGCUGCGCACUCCCCCUUCCUGUCACUCUGCUGGGGUUAAGGACCCAAGCGCCUGCGUGAGCGGGCAGCACCUUACCAAUUGCAUAUGAGCAAGCGUGGAAACGCGAGAACAUCAAUUUCUCUGUAGCACAAGUU